GAUGAACGCUGGCGGCGUGCCUAAUACAUGCAAGUCGAGCGAACAGACGAGGAGCUUGCUCCUCUGACGUUAGCGGCGGACGGGUGAGUAACACGUGGAUAACCUACCUAUAAGACUGGGAUAACUUCGGGAAACCGGAGCUAAUACCGGAUAAUAUAUUGAACCGCAUGGUUCAAUAUUGAAAGACGGUUUUGCUGUCACUUAUAGAUUGAUCCGCGCCGCAUUAGCUAGUUGGUAAGGUAACGGCUUACCAAGGCAACGAUGCGUAGCCGACCUGAGAGGGUGAUCGGACACACUGGAACUGAGACACGGUCCAGACUCCUACGGGAGGCAGCAGUAGGGAAUCUUCCGCAAUGGGCGAAAGCCUGACGGAGCAACGCCGCGUGAGUGAUGAAGGUCUUCGGAUCGUAAAACUCUGUUAUUAGGGAAGAACAAAUGUGUAAGUAACUAUGCACGUCUUGACGGUACCUAAUCAGAAAGCCACGGCUAACUACGUG
RNAcentral lists this ribosomal RNA (497 nucleotides) under uncultured bacterium. RNAcentral's name for it is "partial 16S ribosomal RNA". It matches the Rfam family "Bacterial small subunit ribosomal RNA", at positions 28 to 507 of the family's 1533-position model. The record is from RNAcentral.